GACAGAGGGUGCGAACGUUGUUCGGAAUUACUGGGCGUAAAGCGCGUGUAGGCGGCAGCGCAAGUCGGGCGUGAAAUCCCACGGCUCAACCGUGGAAGUGCACUCGAAACUGCGCAGCUAGAGUCCUGGAGAGGAAGGUGGAAUACUUGGUGUAGAGGUGAAAUUCGUAGAUAUCAAGUGGAACACCGGUGGCGAAGGCGGCCUUCUGGACGGUGACUGACGCUGAGACGCGAAAGCGUGGGGAGCAAACAGG
Molecule: ribosomal RNA, 253 nt
Filed under: uncultured bacterium
Lineage: Bacteria
Description: partial 16S ribosomal RNA
Rfam family: Bacterial small subunit ribosomal RNA
Source: RNAcentral